UAAUAACUCAAUUCAAAAAUUAAAUAUUAAUUUAAACAUGAUUUUUUUAAAGAAAUAAUUACAUAAAAUUGUUUUAAUAACUAAGAAUCGAACAGAAACCGUACCGAAUCAAAACCUAUACAAUAAUUUCGGUUCGAUUCUAGUUUCUAGGCAAACCUUGAACCAAUUAGAACCGAGCACCCCUAGUUGCAGCCGGCAAACAAGGUUGUUGCCACUGUUGCAGCCACAACAUAACAACGUAUUACUAUUGGUAAAAGAUAAUUCCGUGUCUCACAUAGCUAACAGGUGAAUUAGUUUGCAUCAACUCCUACAACAGGAAUCCCCAUUUGAAAUGCCCUUAGUAUCUAUAUACCUGCAGGUCAUCUCAUCAAUUAAGGUAGAAUAUCCAAUCCAAUUAAAGCCUCAUUAAUGAAAAGACAAUCCGGAAAGUUAUUGGGAUGAUAUCAAUUUAAGCGGGACUUCCAUUGUUUGGUUUAAAGAAUGCACAAGAAAGGAAUGACAUUUCUUAAGAUGUAUUUCGAUUUAACAGAGAGAAUGUCUUUUCAACUUGCCAAUGAAAAUUCUAUCAUGUAAUGACAAAACUGUGAUUAUAAUAACAGUACUUAAUAGUAAAAUUAGCCCAUCAACAAAAUUGAAUUGUAUGUAGCUGUUUAUCUGAUGAUCAACACUAGACUAGUAGCGCUACUUUUUCUUUUAAAUGACUACAGAAACAUAAAUCAACUAAUGAUUCAAGAGACAGCUGUCUAGGUGAUACACAACUGCAUCUAUAAAACUUGAACAGGAAGAUGUACCAGGACCAAGCAUGAGAUGAACAGCAAUUCAGAACACUUACACAGCAAUAUCCACUUAAACAGGAUGGCAAUAUCUGCUCUACAAUAAACCAAAGCUGUGCAUCCCUGGAUGUUAGCAUAUAACACAGGAGCAUUCUCAACAGUUAAUUAAAUGAUAGAAGAGUGAUAGACAUACUAACGAUAUUUAACCUUGAAGAAUCUAUCUUUCCCAAUAGAGUGCGUAUAAAUUCUCUGCAAGACACCCAUUAAACCUUUGUUCCUAAAAAGCCUUAAGAAUAACAGACAAAUAAAUUAGUUUCGCCUUUUCUAUUUUAUAGAGCUUAUAACCAGGGUUUAACAAUAUAAUUGGGCUUAUUAACGCCGAAUAAGCUCGGUAUUUGCCAGUUUUGGUCUAGUAAAGCAGGGUCCUUGGAGCUGUCAUUGUAUGAACACUAUGCUCCAGCGUUUCCAUUUGGUUGUUUUAACACUCAACUUCAUGUACUUGCAUUUCUCAAAGCCAAUUCUAACAACUAAUUUAUACAAUGUUUGAAACCAGAUAUAUUAUUCUUGUAGAUAUCUUCCCCAGAAAAUAUCUGAACCAUUUAGAUAAAUGGGAACACUACAGCCAACAGUAAACAGACUUCAAGAGAAUUGUAAAUGAAAAGCUUGGUGAGGUCAAGGUUAUGUAUAUGUCUCUCAGACAGUGCACGUUCAUGUGAACAACUAUGCUUUACAAAUUCUAGCAUAAAUGCCAAAUGAGGGGAGAAAUUAUGUUACCUGUAAGGGGAGUUUAAAGUUCAAACCAAGCAAUUAAUUUUGUAGUUGGAAUUAAAAUCAGCAGAAAAAAUCAGCAUUUCAUAACUUAUUAACACCAAGAUCUCAGCAAUUCCAAGUGUAGAAAAUAAAUAUACAGGAACUUUUACAACGUGCAGCUUUUUACCUUCCUAACAAGCUAGGCAAAUUAUUCCUGCAAAACUGUUUCUCAAAAUUUCUCCUCAUCAGCUAAAAAUUACAGAAAAUGCUGAAAACUAUGCUAAAAAUACAACAAGGCAACCAAACAUAGACAUUAUUUUCUUUUGUACCUUUUGAUUGGUUGCUGUGAAAUGUGGUACACCAAAUCAACAAGAAGCUCAAAAGCAGAACCUCCUCUUCUGAUUCAAACUCAUAGUGUAAGGGAUGGAGUUUAAUCUGAUAGCAGGAAAUUGAUUCAUAAACGCUAUGAAAUGGUGUUGAAUCUUGAUUAAGUCAUUUGCAUGCAAGCAUAAUAAAUGCCUAUCUUCUUGGACCCUUUAAAAGCAGGAAUAACCAAAUUAAUCACUUCAGAAAGACAACUUUCCACAGGAGCUUUAUUCUUCAAUUACAUGCAUAAUUUUCUCCAGCAGCAAUGGGCAGUCUUCUCCAAGCUGCUGUGGGUUAAGCUCCAUCGCAACUUUGAAAUCCAUUAAAGAUAUUGAGAAGUGGUAUCUCUGUUCUUGCACUUCAUCUAAGACUCUACCACUACUUUGCACCUGCAUACUAUGGCCUGGCCAAAACCCAUUAACAAGCUUCAUACAAGAAUUUUGCUUUUGGCUAUUUUUUGUCACCAAAUCACAUCCAUGCCUUGUACCCACAAGUUCAAUGCAAGACUUGAUCAGCCCUUUCAAGUAAGCAUCUAAGCCAAAGUUCAGCAAAUUGGCAGAGUCCAUUGACACCUCAUCCAGGCCCUGUGCUACAGCAAUUUGUUGCAUUCUUUCUCUAAGCAACUGUGAGUCCAGCAAUCCACCAAUAUCAUAUGGACUAGUGCAUCUAUCAUUGCUUGCUAAAGGCAAAGGUUUGCGGGCACCACCCACACUGACACUGCAAAAGGGAAUUCCAAGUGGAGCCUCAAGUGAACUUACAGCAGAUAUCUCUUUUCUAUCUUCAUCCACAAAUAUUUUACUCUGUUCUUUACACUGUAUAGAAAGUGAACCAUCUGUUGACCGCUUUGCAAGCAGUAAUUUGUUCGGGUGGUGAAAUAAAACAUCCCCUUCUGUGUCUCCUUUUUGCGAGAGUACUUGAUGAUGCUGCACCGGCUUUGGUAUGCCAUCUUCUGAAGCUCUGUUAUCACUUGUAAUGGUUGAUAGAUGAGAAGCAAAAUCUGCCUUCCCAUUUGGAAAAGUGUGGGACCCAUCACUUGCAGAUGUUGCAACCUCCUUAUCACGAUUCAGUGGUGGGGAGAUUUUGGCAUUACAAGCAUUUUUCAAGAUUGAACAUAUAAAUUCAUUAUGUAGUGGAAUAUUCUCUCUUCCAAGAAUCCGAAAACAUAGCUUAUUGAACUCAACCUUACUUAGCUUCAAAUUCAAGAAUUUAUUUAAAUAGUAUAAGUACAGUUUUGUCCUCUCCACCCCAAUUUUCUUGACUAUCUGAGUUUUCAACUCCGCGAGAUUUACCCGCGAUUGCUGAUUCCUCCGUUGCAUUUCUCACAACAUAGUCAACAACAGUAAAAUUAACAAAAUUCGCUACUGUAAACUCAAAACCCUAACUAAAUUAGGGUUAUUUCACUCUGUUUCCAAAAUCCCAUUUUCCACAUCCCGAAAAUGAACAUAGCUAUAACUUCAAGAAAACCCAUCAAUGCCAAUAUGGAACACAUCUUUUUAACAUGGCAGAGGGUUCAACAAACGGUAGACUACAACUCUCCCUCCCAAAAAUUCAAAUUGAGAAAACAAAUCAAAACCCUAGCCAUCUUCAUAACUAGAGUUUGUAACUUCACAAAAUCCUUUAUUCCUCCAAUUUCAACUAGCUAAUUUGUCAAGAUAACCUCAAUGUAACUGCACCAAACUCCUCCUUUAUUCAAAGAAGCUAAGAGCAGAGUUUAUUAUCCGUUGAUUGAUAGAGAUCAGCCCACAACCAUUUAGAGCUCAGAGCUUUCACUUGACGGAUUUUCAAAUUGAACUACAAAUUGAUGCGAGAGAGAGAGAGAGAGAAAGAG
Molecule: unclassified non-coding RNA, 3717 nt
Filed under: Hevea brasiliensis (rubber tree)
Lineage: Eukaryota; Viridiplantae; Streptophyta; Magnoliopsida; Malpighiales; Euphorbiaceae
Source: RNAcentral